UGGUGGGUUGCCUUGUCAGGUUGAUUCCGGUAACGAACGAGACCUCAGCCUGCUAAAUAGUGAAAUUCGCUCCGGCGGAUUGCGCACUUCUUAGAGGGACUAUUGGCGACUAGCCAAUGGAAGCAUGAGGCAAUAACA
RNAcentral lists this ribosomal RNA (138 nucleotides) under uncultured eukaryote. RNAcentral describes it as "partial 18S ribosomal RNA". It matches the Rfam family "Eukaryotic small subunit ribosomal RNA", at positions 1299 to 1458 of the family's 1831-position model. The record is from RNAcentral.